UGAGGAACAUGACCUUCGGCGGGGGAUAGCCGGCCCAACGGCCGGGUAAUACCGCGUACGACCACAUGGGGACAUCCCUGAGUGGUGAAAGCAGCAAUGCGCCGAUGGAGUGCCUCGCGGCCUAUCAGCUAGUUGGUGAGGUAACGCUCACCAAGGCGACGACGGGUAGCUGGUCUGAGAGGAUGGCCAGCCACAUUGGGACUGAGACACCGGCCCAGACCUCGACGGGA
RNAcentral lists this ribosomal RNA (230 nucleotides) under uncultured bacterium. Its description in RNAcentral is "partial 16S ribosomal RNA". It matches the Rfam family "Bacterial small subunit ribosomal RNA", at positions 118 to 346 of the family's 1533-position model. The record is from RNAcentral.